UACGUAGGGUGCGAGCGUUGUCCGGAUUUACUGGGCGUAAAGAGCGCGCAGGCGGUCGUUCAAGUCGCGUGUGAAAGCCCCCGGCUCAACUGGGGAGGGUCACGCGAUACUGAUCGACUCGAAGGCAGGAGAGGGUAGUGGAAUUCCCGGUGUAGUGGUGAAAUGCGUAGAUAUCGGGAGGAACACCAGUGGCGAAGGCGACUACCUGGCCUGUUCUUGACGCUGAGGCGCGAAAGCUAGGGGAGCAAACGGG
Molecule: ribosomal RNA, 253 nt
Filed under: uncultured bacterium
Lineage: Bacteria
Description: partial 16S ribosomal RNA
Rfam family: Bacterial small subunit ribosomal RNA
Source: RNAcentral